Molecule: ribosomal RNA, 435 nt
Filed under: uncultured bacterium
Lineage: Bacteria
Description: partial 16S ribosomal RNA
Rfam family: Bacterial small subunit ribosomal RNA
Source: RNAcentral
AACGAACGCUGGCGGCAUGCCUAACACAUGCAAGUCGGACGAGGCCCUUCGGGGUUUAGUGGCGCACGGGUGCGUAACGCGUGGGAAUCUGCCCUUUGGUUCGGAAUAACAGCUGGAAACGGCUGCUAAUACCGGAUGAUGACGAGAGUCCAAAGAUUUAUCGCCAGAGGAUGAGCCCGCGUUGGAUUAGGUAGUUGGUGGGGUAAAGGCCUACCAAGCCGACGAUCCAUAGCUGGUCUGAGAGGAUGAUCAGCCACACUGGGACUGAGACACGGCCCAGACUCCUACGGGAGGCAGCAGUGGGGAAUAUUGGACAAUGGGCGCAAGCCUGAUCCAGCAAUGCCGCGUGAGUGAUGAAGGCCCUAGGGUUGUAAAGCUCUUUUACCCGGGAAGAUAAUGACGGUACCGGGAGAAUAAGCCCCGGCUAACUCCGUG